Molecule: ribosomal RNA, 497 nt
Filed under: uncultured bacterium
Lineage: Bacteria
Description: partial 16S ribosomal RNA
Rfam family: Bacterial small subunit ribosomal RNA
Source: RNAcentral
GACGAACGCUGGCGGCGUGCCUAAUACAUGCCAGUAGAACGCUGAAGCGAGGAGCUUGCUCUUCUUGGAUGAGUUGCGAACGGGUGAGUAACGCGUAGGUAACCUGCCUUGUAGCGGGGGAUAACUAUUGGAAACGAUAGCUAAUACCGCAUAACAAUGGAUGACACAUGUCAUUUAUUUGAAAGGGGCAAUUGCUCCACUACAAGAUGGACCUGCGUUGUAUUAGCUAGUAGGUGAGGUAACGGCUCACCUAGGCGACGAUACAUAGCCGACCUGAGAGGGUGAUCGGCCACACUGGGACUGAGACACGGCCCAGACUCCUACGGGAGGCAGCAGUAGGGAAUCUUCGGCAAUGGGGGCAACCCUGACCGAGCAACGCCGCGUGAGUGAAGAAGGUUUUCGGAUCGUAAAGCUCUGUUGUAAGUCAAGAACGAGUGUGAGAGUGGAAAGUUCACACUGUGACGGUAGCUUACCAGAAAGGGACGGCUAACUACGUG